GGAACGAACGCUGGCGGCAUGCUUAACACAUGCAAGUCGAACGAGACCUUCGGGUCUAGUGGCGCACGGGUGCGUAACGCGUGGGAAUCUGCCCUUUGCUACGGAAUAACUCAGAGAAAUUUGUGCUAAUACCGUAUGAUGUCGUAAGACCAAAGAUUUAUCGGCAAAGGAUGAGCCCGCGUAAGAUUAGCUUGUUGGUGAGGUAAAGGCUCACCAAGGCGACGAUCUUUAGCUGGUCUGAGAGGAUGAUCAGCCACACGUGGGACUGGAGA
This 272-nucleotide ribosomal RNA is filed under the name uncultured soil bacterium. RNAcentral's name for it is "partial 16S ribosomal RNA". It matches the Rfam family "Bacterial small subunit ribosomal RNA", at positions 27 to 326 of the family's 1533-position model. The record is from RNAcentral.